GACGAACGCUGGCGGCGUGCUUAACACAUGCAAGUCGAACGGAAAGGCCCUGCUUUUGUGGGGUGCUCGAGUGGCGAACGGGUGAGUAACACGUGAGUAACCUGCCCUUGACUUUGGGAUAACUUCAGGAAACUGGGGCUAAUACCGGAUAGGAGCUCCUGCUGCAUGGUGGGGGUUGGAAAGUUUCGGCGGUUGGGGAUGGACUCGCGGCUUAUCAGCUUGUUGGUGGGGUAGUGGCUUACCAAGGCUUUGACGGGUAGCCGGCCUGAGAGGGUGACCGGCCACAUUGGGACUGAGAUACGGCACAGACUCCUACGGGAGGCAGCAGUGGGGAAUAUUGCACAAUGGGCGGAAGCCUGAUGCAGCAACGCCGCGUGCGGGAUGACGGCCUUCGGGUUGUAAACCGCUUUCGCCUGUGACGAAGAGUGAGUGACGGUAAUGGGUAAAGAAGCACCGGCUAACUACGUG
This 468-nucleotide ribosomal RNA is filed under the name uncultured bacterium. Its description in RNAcentral is "partial 16S ribosomal RNA". It matches the Rfam family "Bacterial small subunit ribosomal RNA", at positions 28 to 507 of the family's 1533-position model. The record is from RNAcentral.